GGCGAACGGGUGAGUAACACGUGGGCAAUCUGCCCUGCACUCUGGGACAAGCCCUGGAAACGGGGUCUAAUACCGGAUACUGAUCCGCUUGGGCAUCCAAGUGGUUCGAAAGCUCCGGCGGUGCAGGAUGAGCCCGCGGCCUAUCAGCUUGUUGGUGAGGUAAUGGCUCACCAAGGCGACGACGGGUAGCCGGCCUGAGAGGGCGACCGGCCACACUGGGACUGAGACACGGCCCAGACUCCUACGGGAGGCAGCAGUGGGGAAUAUUGCACAAUGGGCGAAAGCCUGAUGCAGCGACGCCGCGUGAGGGAUGACGGCCUUCGGGUUGUAAACCUCUUUCAGCAGGGAAGAAGCGAAAGUGACGGUACCUGCAGAAGAAGCGCCGGCUAACUACGUGCCAGCAGCCGCGGUAAUACGUAGGGCGCAAGCGUUGUCCGGAAUUAUUGGGCGUAAAGAGCUCGUAGGCGGCUUGUCACGUCGGUUGUGAAAGCCCGGGGCUUAACCCCGGGUCUGCAGUCGAUACGGGCAGGCUAGAGUUCGGUAGGGGAGAUCGGAAUUCCUGGUGUAGCGGUGAAAUGCGCAGAUAUCAGGAGGAACACCGGUGGCGAAGGCGGAUCUCUGGGCCGAUACUGACGCUGAG
RNAcentral lists this ribosomal RNA (640 nucleotides) under Streptomyces griseorubens. RNAcentral's name for it is "bacterial SSU rRNA". It matches the Rfam family "Bacterial small subunit ribosomal RNA", at positions 97 to 750 of the family's 1533-position model. The record is from RNAcentral. Lineage: Bacteria; Bacillati; Actinomycetota; Actinomycetes; Kitasatosporales; Streptomycetaceae.